GCGACAGACUAGAACUAUAACCUUGUAAUAUACAAUGGCGAAGGAAAAAUAAAUUUCGAUCGCGACAUUGGUUACAUCUCCAUGCCUCGUACAUGGAUGGAGAAAUUAGGGUUCUUGGUUAGUUUUGACCUUUAGCGCCAAUUAUUCUGAGUGGUGGAACGGUCGAUCGGUCCAGCGAUGGCGGACGAUCUAAGCUUCGAUCUGGAGUUCUCGCCGGCGGCGGCGAGGGUGUGCGUCGUCGGGGCCGGGGUGUCGGGGCUGUGCGCUUGCCGGCAUUUGCUCAAGCGAGGAAUUCGGCCCACUGUGCUGGAGGGCUCGUCCCACAUUGGCGGGGUGUGGCGGAGCAACAGCGUUGCCAUCACGCGGCUCCAGACGCCCAGCGUCGCGUACCAGUUCUCGGAUUUCCCGUGGCCGCCGGGCACGCCCGCGUUCGCGACAGGGGGCCAGGUGCUCGACUACCUCCACGGCUAUGCCGCCAAAUUUGGGGUUUUGGAGUGUGUCCGGUUCGAUUCUAGGGUUGUGGGUAUCCGGCGCGAUGGCGAUCGCGGGCCAUGGCAGCUUCUUGUGGUGCGCGGCGAUGGCGACGGCGCGGCGCGCGAGACGCUGGAAUUUGAUUUCGUGAUAUUGUGCAUUGGUCGUUUUGGAGAUGUUCCAAGGCUCCCAUCUUUCUCGCCUGGCCAAGGUGCCGACGUCUUCAAGGGAAGAGUGCUGCAUUCGACUGAAUUCUCGGCCCUCGACUAUGAGAAUGCCUCCAAACUUCUCCGCGGAAAUAGUGUCGUCGUCGUCGGCUUCUCAAAGUCCGCUUUGGACGUUGCCGCGGAAGCGGUUGAAGCGAAUCAAGGGAAACCAUGCACGCUCUUGUUUCGCAGAGCGCAUUGGAUUGUCCAGCAUUGGGACGUUUUUGGAGUGAACAUUGCCUAUUUGUUCGGAACAAGGCUAUCUGAGAUGUACUACCACAAGCCAGGCCAAGGUUUCUUUUCCAGCCUGUUAACCUCGCUCCUCUGGCCAUUGAAGUGGGCUACAUCUAAAGUGGUGGAAGUUUAUCUCCGGUGGACGCUUUCGUUAUCAAAGUAUGGGAUACUGCCCAGCAUACCAUUUUAUAAACAACUUUCUUCGUGCAAGAUAUCGGUAAUACCUGACAACUUCAUGGACUACGUGAAAGAGGGCCGUCUCAAGCUUUGCAAGUCGCCAAAGUGGCACUUUACAGCGACCGGAGUCAUGCUCGAUAACAAGCGCGAGUUGAAAGCAGAUGUUGUUCUGCUUUGCACAGGCUUUGAGGGCGAAGUCAAGCUCAAGGCUAUUCUUCCCGAAAGAUAUGCAGAGGUUUUGCAAGGACCGGACGGUGUAGUUCCAUUGUACAGAGGGAUGAUACACCCACGAAUUCCUGGGCUGGCAAUACUGGGUUACCAGGAGGAUGUCUCAAAUGUGAGAGCUUCAGAGAUGGGAGCUCGCUGGCUGUCGUACUAUCUAACUGGAAAGGUGAAACUUCCCGACUCUCAAACAAUGAGCAAGAGUGCCAACGAGUGGGUGCGCUACAUGAAGUGGUCGACCCCGUACUUCGACAGGGCGUGCAUAGCGUUGGCCAGGACGUGGCACAGCGACGAGCUGUGCAGGGACAUUGGCUGGAAUCCGAGAAGAAAGAAGAACUGGCUGCAAGAACUUCUCUCGCCGUACUCCAACAUGGACUACAUUGAUUGAAGAACAUGCCCGAGGUUUGCAAAGGAGGAGAGGAUAAGAAAGAAUUCCCUGUCCCACUCAUUAGGGGCACAGGAAAUGUGAAGCUUUGUUUUCGAAUAAGGCCGGCUUCUAAAGUAAGUACCGUCUUUGUCUAUUCACAUGCAGGGGAGACCAUUCACUCAACCAACACUGUUUUUGAUACGUCCACCCGUGUGCCACCACCAGACGGUACAGGGAAAGCAACGUUUUACUGCUAGAUCGAUCUACUGCGAGAAAGAAAACAGAAAGCAAAGUAAAAGGACGCAGUUAUAAGGACGAACAUGAUGAGCUUCCUUGUGUGGCCAGAGACUUGGUCUCGGAAGACAUGUCUGCCGCAAGCUUCUUCGCAACACUGUCACUUAUCGCCAGCCUUCUCUCCUCGCGGUCAAGAGCUUCUCAGCUCGUUCCCGCCCUUUACGUAUUCGGAGACUCGUCGGUGGAUGCUGGUAACAAUGACUACAUUGGAACGGUUGUGAGGGCCGACUUCCCUCCUUAUGGGAGAGACUUCGACUCCCACAAGGCGACCGGACGAUUUUCCAAUGGUCGCGUUUCGAGUGACUACCUGGCUAGCCUGCUUGGUUUGCCACUUCCUCCGCCGUACUUGGAUCCCUC
RNA transcript from Selaginella moellendorffii, 2328 nucleotides. It is a transcript of the gene named probable flavin-containing monooxygenase 1, with no coding region annotated. Lineage: Eukaryota; Viridiplantae; Streptophyta; Lycopodiopsida; Selaginellales; Selaginellaceae. The record is from RefSeq and is a predicted model, not a curated record. The transcript has 7 exons.